AAUGGGCGCAAGCCUGAUCCAGCAAUGCCGCGUGCAGGAAGAAGGCCUUCGGGUUGUAAACUGCUUUUGUACGGAACGAAACGGUCCUGGUUAAUACCUGGGGCUAAUGACGGUACCGUAAGAAUAAGCACCGGCUAACUACGUGCCAGCAGCCGCGGUAAUACGUAGGGUGCGAGCGUUAAUCGGAAUUACUGGGCGUAAAGCGUGCGCAGGCGGUGCUGUAAGACAGGCGUGAAAUCCCCGGGCUCAACCUGGGAAUUGCGCUUGUGACUGCAGUGCUGGAGUACGGCAGAGGGGGAUGGAAUUCCGCGUGUAGCAGUGAAAUGCGUAGAUAUGCGGAGGAACACCGAUGGCGAAGGCAGUCCCCUGGGCCUGUACUGACGCUCAUGCACGAAAGCGUGGGGAGCAAA
This 410-nucleotide ribosomal RNA is filed under the name uncultured bacterium. RNAcentral's name for it is "bacterial SSU rRNA". It matches the Rfam family "Bacterial small subunit ribosomal RNA", at positions 370 to 772 of the family's 1533-position model. The record is from RNAcentral.